CCUACGGGAGGCAGCAGUGAGGAAUAUUGGUCAAUGGACGAGAGUCUGAACCAGCCAAGUAGCGUGAAGGAUGACUGCCCUAUGGGUUGUAAACUUCUUUUAUAAAGGAAUAAAACGAGGCACGUGUGCCUUUUUGCAUGUACUUUAUGAAUAAGGAUCGGCUAACUCCGUGCCAGCAGCCGCGGUAAUACGGAGGAUCCGAGCGUUAUCCGGAUUUAUUGGGUUUAAAGGGAGCGUAGAUGGGUUGUUAAGUCAGUUGUGAAAGUUUGCGGCUCAACCGUAAAAUUGCAAUUGAUACUGGCAGUCUUGAGUACAGUUGAGGUAGGCGGAAUUCGUGGUGUAGCGGUGAAAUGCUUAGAUAUUGCGCAGAACUCCGAUUGCGAAGGCAGCAUACCGGCGGCGAUCUGACGCUGAGGCACGAAAGCGUGGGUAUCGAACAGGAUUAGAUACCCGAGUAGUC
This 460-nucleotide ribosomal RNA is filed under the name uncultured bacterium. Its description in RNAcentral is "partial 16S ribosomal RNA". It matches the Rfam family "Bacterial small subunit ribosomal RNA", at positions 338 to 795 of the family's 1533-position model. The record is from RNAcentral.